Molecule: ribosomal RNA, 350 nt
Filed under: uncultured bacterium
Lineage: Bacteria
Description: bacterial SSU rRNA
Rfam family: Bacterial small subunit ribosomal RNA
Source: RNAcentral
AGAGUUUGAUCCUGGCUCAGGAUGAACGCUAGCUACAGGCUUAACACAUGCAAGUCGAGGGGCAGCAUGUUGGUUGCCUGCAACCAACGAUGGCGACCGGCGCACGGGUGAGUAACGCGUAUCCAACCUACCCUUGUCCAUCGGAUAACCCGUCGAAAGGCGGCCUAACACGAUAUGCGGUUCACAGCAGGCAUCUAACGUGAACGAAAUGUAAAGGAGAAGGAUGGGGAUGCGUCUGAUUAGCUUGGUUGGCGGGGUAACGGCCACCAAGGCUACGAUCAGUAGGGGUUCUGAGAGGAAGGUCCCCCACAUUGGAACUGAGACACGGUCCAAACUCCGUACGGGAGGCA